AUGACCUUUAAAUUUAGUCCCGUGAGGCUAAGAAGGCAGCUCAAAAUCCAUAUAUAAACAAGAAAUUCUUGGCGAACAUUCGAAUUGACAGGAAGACCGGGGAGGAAGCUUUCCGGGCAGUUUAAGCAGACUUUGAGAGACCAUUUUAGACACGGAGACUGAGUGUAUAAAAUGGUCUUUUUGCU
RNAcentral lists this small RNA (185 nucleotides) under Lactobacillus delbrueckii subsp. delbrueckii. RNAcentral's name for it is "PyrR". It matches the Rfam family "PyrR binding site". From Rfam's summary of the family: This family represents the PyrR binding site and terminator structure. This RNA structure is found upstream of a variety of genes involved in pyrimidine biosynthesis and transport. The alignment also includes a portion of the antiterminator structure. Lineage: Bacteria; Bacillati; Bacillota; Bacilli; Lactobacillales; Lactobacillaceae. The record is from RNAcentral.